CAAUAGCGUAUAUCAAAGUUGUUGCAGUUAAAAGGCUCGUAGUUGAAUUUUUGCUUGCCGCCGAUGUCGGAACUUCCGUACGUUCGGCGGCGUGCAUCCUUGGGUGGAACCUGUGUGGCAUUAGGUUGUCGUGCAGGGGAUGCUCAUCGUUUACUGUGAAAAAAUUAGAGUGUUCAAAGCAGGCUUACGCCGUUGAAUAUAUUAGCAUGGAAUAAUAAGAUAGGACCUUGGUACUAUUUUGUUGGUUUGCGCACCGAGGUAAUGAUUAACAGGGACAGUUGGGGGUAUUCGUAUUCCAUUGUCAGAGGUGAAAUUCUUGGAUUUCUGGAAGACGAACUACUGCGAAAGCAUUUACCAAGGAUGUUUUCAUUAA
This 373-nucleotide ribosomal RNA is filed under the name uncultured eukaryote. RNAcentral's name for it is "partial 18S ribosomal RNA". It matches the Rfam family "Eukaryotic small subunit ribosomal RNA", at positions 592 to 976 of the family's 1831-position model. The record is from RNAcentral.